CGUACCUAUUAUUAAACAUCAAUAAAUCGUAAGCAGCCUAAACAGAAAAGUCUAGGUUUAAAGUGGCGCGCUUGGAGAUAUCGCGAGAUCUCGGCUCGUUCUGCAUAUUGUCAGCAGCGGCGAUCCUCCACCAUUUCGCUGCGUAAAGUCUCCUCCCCGCGACCGCUACAUUCUGCGCCGAAACCCAGUCUCUCCCGGUCCGUAUUUUCACUUCUUCCCACCGUCCUAGUGGUACCUCGUUGGGUACCGGGAGAUAGUUUGGAUUACUGGCAUCACGGAUUGAGUUCGAUUUUACGCGGAUGACGUCUUCUUUAGCAAGAAUUUAGUAAAAGAAAAUUGGUCGAAAAUUUCAGAAUAUGUGGAAGGGAUCCUAAUUUCAUCAUCCUGGAAGUAGAAAGCACUGAAGAUCUGUGUCUCACACCACAGACAGGUGCUGUGUGUAGCAAGAGCAGCACAGAGAAAGGAAGCUCUGCGGAGAAGGCGGUGUGGCAGCAGGCCUCUCCGGCUGUGGAUGUGCUGGGUGGUAACCCCCAGGCUGCGCAGAAUGUGGCUGGGGAGUCACCUCGGCAUGCCCCGCAGCCGGUCGCAGCUGCCCCCUGCCCGAUCCCUCCAUCUGCAAAUCCAUCCAGCAUGUCGCUGUCGGACGGCAACAGCUCAGUAUUCCCUGGCAUGGACCCUUCAGCAGCCUUUUCUGAGACUCUCCCAAGCAGGAAUUCUAAGGACGUCACCUCAGAAGAAGUGUGCACUGAGGAGAGCAUUGUUGGAAUUGCUAAGUCAUUGCCAGUGUCCUUCAGUCAGGACAGUAGUUCCUUUGCUAAGAUGCAAAGGCUCUCAAAUCUUCCUUGUCCCCCACUUGCAGCACGAAUUGACGGCUCAGUGCAAGAGCUUCAGGACGGGCUACAAAGUGGUAAAGAGGAAAGCCUCCCAGAUAGUCAAACAGACCAGAUUCAGCCUCAUCAAGAAAAUACGGGGCUUGUGGUUACUUUGGGGAUCCAGGAAGAACAAUCUAUCGCUUUGGACUACAAUCCCGACUCUGAAACAAAAGGGGAUGUUGGUAGACAAGAGCUCACCGAUAAAAGUGUCCUCUUACAACCCCAAAUUCAUUGCACAGUUUCAUCUUCCCCCACCCCUCCGUCAAGUGUUGGUUUCACAGUUCAAAACCCCACAAACUUUGGGGUUGUGGUGCAGUCAGACAGGGAAACAAUCGUCCUUCAGGGCAUCCACAAAACUCCAUCAGAUACUGCAGAACCAAGAGGUAGUUUCAAGGACUCGAAUGCCUCAGCCUCUUUGCCCUCAGCGGAAAAUGCAGAGGACAAACAAACGAACCUUUCAAAAACAAAACCUAAAACCAUCAGGGAGAUCCCAAACGACGACAGCAAUACGCAAACGGAAAAUUCUUCAGAAUCAAUCGAGGCCUUCAAACACACAAAAGUGGUUGCUGUCACCUCUGUCAAAGAAACACAACCUCAUUCACCUGAAAUACUUGAGACCCCAAAGGCUAAAGAAUCACAGCACGGAUUAGAUUCCUCCCUCGGAGACCAGAGUUCCGUGCCCACCAGUAAUCCCCCUGUAACAGAGCAGGGUGAUGGGGGUGUGAGGGAAGUCCAAACUGAUGCUGCUGCCCCUUCAGUGCUGCCAGAGUUUUCCUCCAAACCUCCUGCAGGGGCUCCCCUGUUCGACACCGACUUGGUUGUCUCACUACAUACAGGGGAGGUCAUCAAGACAGACAUUUCCCAUACCUCUGAUCCAGUCCCUUCCCACGAAACCUCACUGAUUGCUGAGAUUGUUCACUCUGCCAACGCCCAGGAAAUCGUGGUCGUCCGAGAGGGGGCUCAUAUCAGUGGCGACUGGUCAAACAUGCACCUAAAUCAGAGUUACCUGCUGCAACGAGAAGAUGGCACUGUGUGCGAAGCUGCCAUCGUUAACGAACUCUCUCCCGGAGGAGCGAAACUGUAUGAAGACAGUGUUCAGGCGGGCUUGGAACUGGACUCUCAGCCCGUGGAAGUGUAUGAGUUCUGUGGUCUGGUGGAGGAGGUUGCCGAGGAGACGAUAUGUGGCAGCAGUGGCACACAGAUACCUCACUCUCCAGGAUAUGAAGUAAACUUAUUCAAUGCAUUACUGGAAAAUUCUGACGAGUACACCAUCAAAGAGGACAUCGAACCUGCUAUUCACUCAGCUACUGAAAGUGAAACCAUCAUCAUUUCCCAGCAACCUUUGCCUUCUUCAAGUGAGCACGAUUCCCACAGUCUGUCCAUACAAAAAGCAAGGGUAGCUGCAGUCGGGUCGCAUUUGAUAUUAGAUAAUCAAACAGUCGAAGUGUCUCACUCAGGUGAGGUUUGUUUACUUCAAGUAGCUGCAGUUGCUUCAGAGUCUUUCACUGUUCAGCAGGCAGACACAAGUACACAAUUUGGCAUGCACUGCUUACAAGCUAAUGCUACAGAGUCAGACGUAAAAGAAGCACAUGGAUUAGAUUCUCCUAAACCAAAAGCAGAGACAGCAACAUGCUCUUUAGGAACCUCCUCCCCGGUGGUUGAAAUUAGUGGGGGAAACACAGUUUCAGUACAUAUUUCUUGUUUAGAAAACCAGCCUUGUCUUUCCGCUCAUGAAGGGACCAAAGAAACUCCUGCUUUGACUCCAUCACAGAAUAUUCACGCUGUGGUUUUGCCCUCUGAAACUAAACCUGACGGACUCUCCUCCACACAUUACUCUAGCGUCAAUCCAAAGCUGCUCCUUCAGGAGUCAGAAGAAACUCCCCUCCUGAAACAACCGAAUGCGGACGCCACGUUGACAAACUCCCACGGUUCUUGGUCUGCCGCUGAAGGGUGCCUUUCUGCAGAUGUCACAAAAGACUCCUUAUCUCCAUCUGUGGCUCCAAGCAGCCGGGAAGAUCAAACCCAGCGCUCUGAAGAGGAAAAAUCAGCAGCUCCUGUUGAAGCUCAGCAGUGUAGUGUUAGUGCUAGCACACCUCAGACUGAAUCUGACUCUGCAACAGCUUCAACAAACAAACCCGAGGCCUUAACUUCUACCAAAACAUCAACAGACAAAGCAGAUCCGUCUUCUGAAAAUGUUGAAACCCCCACGGACACCACUACACUUGUUUUACCUGAAUCCAUUCGCAUGCUCACAGCACCAGAGGAAAGUGAAUGUGAAGUUGCAAUGGCUACCAGUCCCAGCAAUCCCCUGACAGGCGUCCCAGACUACGAGGAUGACGACAGCGAGGACAUGGAGCAGGACAAACCAGCGGGAGAAACGGAAGUCCAAGAGAGCUUGUCAGGUCAGGUUAGCAGUCAAGAAGAAGACAGUGAUGAGGAAGCAGACGAAAGUGAGAUGACCUCUUCCAGCUCAUCACACAAGCAGGGACAGAGCAGGACAGCCAGUCAGGUGAUGUUCCAGAAGGUGCGUCAGUGGAUCUCAGAAAGAGUCUCUGCCAACUCGUCUCCCGUCUCCUCCUCAACUUCAUCUUCCUUCCUCGGGCCUUCAUCCAGCACAGACUGGACAACACCUCGACGAGAUAAGUUGUCGCCUCUCAGAGGUCCCCACGGCAAGUUUGUCUCCCCUUCCUCGGGUGGGUGCUCCGCCUCCUCCCCAACAGACCAGGCCUCCUCUCAGAGGUCCCGUGGAGAGAGACUCACUGACAUGGCAGAACUUGCUAAACAUGAAGCGGACAUCGAGCAUCGAACACAGGCCUUGAAGCGUGAGGGUUUCUGGUCAACGAAGCGCCUCAGCCGCCUGACGGAGCCUCAGCGACCCAAAGUUCAUUGGGAUUACUUGUGCGAGGAGAUGCAGUGGCUUUCUGCUGACUUUGCUCAAGAGAGACGCUGGAAGAGAGGCGUGGCCAGAAAGGUGGUCCGAAUGGUGGUGCGACAUCACGAAGAGCUUCGGCAAAAAGAGGAAAAAGCAAAAAGAGACGAACAUGCCAAAAUCAGAAAAAUUGCCUCCAAUAUCGCAAAGGAAAUCCGAUCUUUCUGGAGUAAUGUUGAGAAGGUGGUUCAGUUCAAGCAGCAGUCCAGGCUGGAGGAGAAGCGGAAGAAGGCUUUAGAUUUGCAGCUGGACUUCAUCGUAGGCCAGACGGAGAAAUACUCCGACCUUCUCAGCAAGUCACUGGCUCCCAGCAGGCCUCCUGAGAUUGUUGUCUCUCCUCAAAAAACACAUCCAUUCGCCAUUGAUGAGGAUGACUUCGAGCCUCCGUGUGAAGAGGAAGAUGACGAGGAAACCAUAGAGGUUGAGGAGCAGCAGGAGGGCAAUGAUGCUGAGAGCCAUCAGAGGGAAAUUGAACUACUGAAGGAAGAGAGCAUGUUGCCCCUUGAUCAACUUCUCAGCACUCUCAAAUUACCUCCUCCACAGAUACCUCAUCUAAAUGUUUCAAUCAAUUCCACCCUCACAGGGGAAAUGAGCAUUGAAGAGCUGCUGGAGAAGUAUAAAGGAGCUUAUGUGUCCGAUUUCGAAGAACCAUCUGGUUCUGGCUCAAAAGCAAGCUCCAAUUUGGAGGUUUCUGGUGACGAGGAGGUGGAGACUGAAGAAGAUGAGAGUGACGUUGAAAGCAACACAUCUUCCUCAGGUACUAUCCUCUGUCAUCCAAACAUUUUUCUUUCAGAUUCACCGGGAGACAGCGCUGAAGAUGAGGAAAGCGACAAGGAGGAGAUGAGUAAUGAGGAAGCAGAUGAUGAUGAAGGAAUGGAGCUUUUGCUGAAGGAGGGAGACGGCAGUCUGUCUUCUUCCGGCUCUCGACCAAAGAAAGAAAUCAGUCAUAUUGCUGCUACUGCUGAGAGCCUGCAGCCUAAAGGUUACACUCUGGCUACUACAAAGGUCAAGACUCCUAUUCCAUUCCUGCUUCAUGGCACUUUAAGAGAAUACCAGCACAUCGGGCUGGACUGGUUGGUCACCAUGUAUGAGAAGAAGCUGAAUGGAAUACUAGCAGAUGAAAUGGGUCUGGGUAAAACCAUCCAAACCAUUGCUCUGCUGGCUCACCUUGCCUGUGAAAAAGUGAACUGGGGCCCCCAUCUCAUCAUUGUCCCCACCAGUGUGAUGCUAAACUGGGAAAUGGAGUUGAAACGCUGGUGUCCCGGGUUCAAAAUCCUCACUUACUUUGGCAGCCAGAAGGAAAGAAAGCUUAAGAGACAGGGCUGGACGAAGCCGAACGCUUUCCACGUGUGCAUCACCUCAUAUAAGCUGGUGCUGCAGGAUCACCAGGCCUUUAGGCGGAAGUCUUGGCGUUAUUUAAUCCUCGACGAAGCUCAGAACAUCAAGAACUUCAAGUCCCAGCGUUGGCAGAGUCUGCUGAACUUCAACAGCCACCGGCGACUGCUGCUGACGGGAACGCCUCUCCAGAACAGCCUGAUGGAGCUUUGGUCCCUCAUGCACUUCCUGAUGCCUCACGUCUUUCAGUCCCACCGAGAGUUCAAGGAGUGGUUCUCGAAUCCGCUGACGGGGAUGAUUGAGGGCAGUCAGGAGUACAACGAGGGUCUGGUGAAGAGACUUCACAAGGUGCUGAGGCCGUUUCUUCUCAGGAGGAUCAAGGCUGACGUUGAGAAGCAGAUGCCCAAAAAAUACGAACAUGUGGUGCGCUGCCGUCUCUCUAAGAGGCAGCGAUUUCUCUACGACGACUUCAUGGCACAAGCUUCGACCCGUGAAACUUUAGCCAGUGGACACUUCAUGUCUGUGAUCAACAUUCUCAUGCAGCUCCGCAAAGUGUGCAACCACCCCAACCUGUUUGACCCCCGACCCAUCCAGUCGCCCUUCAUCACACAGCCCAUCGUCUUCUACACUGCCUCCAUAGUGCAGGAUGCACUGGACGUUCCCCCUCUCAAGGUCGGCAGAAAGACAAGUCAGGGGGGUAAAGUAUUAAAAAUAAAGUCUGAGUUUGACAGUUACUUUUUUUCCUCAGCGCUGCGAUCUUUCGAUGUUUAAUUUGAUCGGUUUGGAGGGUCGCAUGACCCGUUACCAAGCAGACAACUUCCUGCCACGACAGAAGGUCACCCGGCAGCUGAUCCAGGAGAUAAUUGAGGCUCCGGCACCUACCACGGCAAGAACUAGAGAAUACACACACAGAGAUAUUCUUAACGGAGUAACAUUAGAUCUUUACAGGGUAAAAACGUGAAGACUGGUUAGAUUGUUGA
Oryzias javanicus (javanese ricefish) is the source of this 6116-nucleotide long non-coding RNA. Lineage: Eukaryota; Metazoa; Chordata; Actinopteri; Beloniformes; Adrianichthyidae. The record is from Ensembl.